Molecule: ribosomal RNA, 460 nt
Filed under: uncultured bacterium
Lineage: Bacteria
Description: partial 16S ribosomal RNA
Rfam family: Bacterial small subunit ribosomal RNA
Source: RNAcentral
CCUACGGGAGGCAGCAGUGAGGAAUAUUGGUCAAUGGACGAGAGUCUGAACCAGCCAAGUAGCGUGAAGGAUGACUGCCCUAUGGGUUGUAAAUUUCUUUUAUAAAGGAAUAAAACGAGGCACGUGUGCCUUUUUGCAUGUACUUUAUGAAUAAGGAUCGGCUACCUCCGUCCCAGUAGCCGCGGUAAUACGGAGGAUCCGGGCGUUAUCCGGCUUUAUUGGGUUUAAAGGGAGCGUAGGUGGGUUGAUAAGUCAGUUGUGAAAGUUUGCGGCUCAACCGUAAAAUUGCAAUUGAUACUGGCAGUCUUGAGUACAGUUGAGGUAGGCGGAAUUCGUGGUGUAGCGGUGAAAUGCUUAGAUAUCACGAAGAACCCCGAUUGCGAAGGCAGCUUACUAAACUGUGACUGACAUUGAUGCUCGAAAGUGUGGGUAUCAAACAGGAUUAGAUACCCUUGUAGUC